CCUACGGGAGGCAGCAGUGAGGAAUAUUGGUCAAUGGGCGGGAGCCUGAACCAGCCAAGUCGCGUGAGGGAAGACGGUCCUACGGAUUGUAAACCUCUUUUGCCGGGGAGCAACGGUGUCCUUGCGAGGGACCGAUGAGAGUACCCGGCGAAUAAGCAACGGCUAACUCCGUGCCAGCAACCGCGGUAAUACGGAGGAUGCGAGCGUUAUCCGGAUUUAGUGGUUGUAAAGAGUGCGCAGGCGGAAGAUCAAGUCAGCGGUAAAUUUGAGAGGCUCAACCUAAUCGAGCCGUUGAAACUGGUUUUCUUGAGUGAGCGAGAAGUAUGCGGAAUGCGUGGUGUAGCGGUGAAAUGCAUAGAUAUCACGCAGAACUCCGAUUGCGAAGGCAGCAUACCGGCGCUCAACUGACGCUCAUGCACGAAAGUGUGGGUAUCGAACAGGAUUAGAUACCCUAGUAGUC
This 460-nucleotide ribosomal RNA is filed under the name uncultured bacterium. Its description in RNAcentral is "partial 16S ribosomal RNA". It matches the Rfam family "Bacterial small subunit ribosomal RNA", at positions 338 to 795 of the family's 1533-position model. The record is from RNAcentral.